UACGAAGGGGGCAAGCGUUGUUCGGAAUUAUUGGGCGUAAAGGGAGCGUAGGCGGUUCGGCAAGUCUUUAGUGAAAUCUCUGGGCUCAACUCAGAGUCUGCUGGAGAAACUGCCGGGCUGGAGUAUGGGAGAGGUGAGUGGAAUUCCCGGUGUAGCGGUGAAAUGCGCAGAUAUCGGGAAGAACACCCGUGGCGAAGGCGGCUCUCUGGGACGGUACUGACGCUGAGACGCGAAAGCGUGGGGAGCGAACAGG
Molecule: ribosomal RNA, 253 nt
Filed under: uncultured bacterium
Lineage: Bacteria
Description: partial 16S ribosomal RNA
Rfam family: Bacterial small subunit ribosomal RNA
Source: RNAcentral